This 508-nucleotide ribosomal RNA is filed under the name uncultured bacterium. Its description in RNAcentral is "partial 16S ribosomal RNA". It matches the Rfam family "Bacterial small subunit ribosomal RNA", at positions 28 to 507 of the family's 1533-position model. The record is from RNAcentral.
GACGAACGCUGGCGGCGUGCCUAAUACAUGCAAGUCGAGCGCAGGAAGUCAUCCGAACCCUUCGGGGGGACGUUGACGGACUGAGCGGCGGACGGGUGAGUAACACGUAAAGAACCUGCCCUCAGGUCUGGGAUAACCACGAGAAAUCGGGGCUAAUACCGGAUGGGUCAUCGGACCGCAUGGUCCGAGGAUGAAAGGCGCUCCGGCGUCGCCUGGGGAUGGCUUUGCGGUGCAUUAGCUAGUUGGUGGGGUAAUGGCCCACCAAGGCGACGAUGCAUAGCCGACCUGAGAGGGUGAUCGGCCACACUGGGACUGAGACACGGCCCAGACUCCUACGGGAGGCAGCAGUAGGGAAUCUUCCACAAUGGACGAAAGUCUGAUGGAGCAACGCCGCGUGAACGAUGAAGGCCCUCGGGUCGUAAAGUUCUGUUGUAAGGGAAGAACAAGUGCCGCAGGCAAUGGCGGCACCUUGACGGUACCUUGCGAGAAAGCCACGGCUAACUACGUG